AUUGAACGCUGGCGGCAGGCCUAACACAUGCAAGUCGAACGAGCGGCGGACGGGUGAGUAAUAUAUGGGGACUGCCCGGUAGAGGGGGAUAACUACUUGAAACAGUGGCUAAUACCGCAUACUAUCGGAUGACCCAUAUCGGAUUAGCUAGUUGGUGGGGUAAAGGCUCACCUAGGCGACGAUCUCUAGCUGGUCUGAGAGGAUGAUCAGCGACAGUGGGACGGAGAUACCGCCCAGGGUACUACGGAGGGAGAAGUGGGGGAUAUGGCACAAUGGCCGAAAGACUGAUGCAGCGACGAUGCGUGGGGGAUGAAGGCUUUAGGGUUGUAAACGUAUUUAGCUAUCGAAAGGGUAGGUGGAGAAGAAGCGCCGGCUAACUACGUGCCAGCAGCCGCGGUAAUAC
RNAcentral lists this ribosomal RNA (403 nucleotides) under uncultured bacterium. RNAcentral describes it as "partial 16S ribosomal RNA". It matches the Rfam family "Bacterial small subunit ribosomal RNA", at positions 29 to 526 of the family's 1533-position model. The record is from RNAcentral.